Non-coding RNA from Streptomyces sp. C, 55 nucleotides. The record is from Rfam. Lineage: Bacteria; Bacillati; Actinomycetota; Actinomycetes; Kitasatosporales; Streptomycetaceae.
CCCCCUCGCGACCGCUGGGGGGAACUGACACCGGUACCUGACACGGCCGGUGCAG